AACGAACGCUGGCGGCAUGCCUAACACAUGCAAGUCGAACGAGAUCUUCGGGUCUAGUGGCGCACGGGUGCGUAACGCGUGGGAAUCUGCCCUUUGGUUCGGAAUAACAGUUGGAAACGACUGCUAAUACCGGAUGAUGACGAAAGUCCAAAGAUUUAUCGCCAGAGGAUGAGCCCGCGUAGGAUUUGCUAGUUGGUGUGGUAAAGGCGCACCAAGGCGACGAUCCUUAGCUGGUCUGAGAGGAUGAUCAGCCACACUGGGACUGAGACACGGCCCAGACUCCUACGGGAGGCAGCAGUGAGGAAUAUUGGACAAUGGGCGAAAGCCUGAUCCAGCAAUGCCGCGUGAGUGAUGAAGGCCUUAGGGUUGUAAAGCUCUUUUACCCGGGAUGAUAAUGACAGUACCGGGAGAAUAAGCUCCGGCUAACUCCGUGCCAGCCGCCGCGGUAA
RNAcentral lists this ribosomal RNA (449 nucleotides) under uncultured bacterium. Its description in RNAcentral is "partial 16S ribosomal RNA". It matches the Rfam family "Bacterial small subunit ribosomal RNA", at positions 29 to 523 of the family's 1533-position model. The record is from RNAcentral.